RNAcentral lists this transfer RNA (73 nucleotides) under Dendronephthya gigantea. Its description in RNAcentral is "tRNA-Tyr". It matches the Rfam family "tRNA". Rfam says of the family: Transfer RNA (tRNA) molecules are approximately 80 nucleotides in length. Their secondary structure includes four short double-helical elements and three loops (D, anti-codon, and T loops). Lineage: Eukaryota; Metazoa; Cnidaria; Anthozoa; Malacalcyonacea; Nephtheidae. The record is from RNAcentral.
CCUUCUAUAGCUCAGUUGGUAGAGCGGGGGACUGUAGAUCCCUAGGUCACUGGUUCAAAUCCCGUUCGAAGGA